GAGUUUAUAAAUUUAAGGAGCACAUCACUUUACAUUAAAUUUGUCAUAUAUAAAAUGAUAAUUAUCAUUAUAGAUGGGCAGAAUUUAGUAAGCUAUUAUAACAAUCCCAUGGUAGUCCAAACCGAAUACGCCAUCAUCCUAAAUGUAAGACUGUUUUUAACACCUAAUUUUCUUAACACCAAACCUGCACCAUCUUGUUACUACACU
This 207-nucleotide long non-coding RNA is filed under the name Elaeis guineensis (African oil palm). Its description in RNAcentral is "long non-coding RNA (EGUI_LNC024283)". Lineage: Eukaryota; Viridiplantae; Streptophyta; Magnoliopsida; Arecales; Arecaceae. The record is from RNAcentral.